UCAAACUUGGUCAUUUAGAGGAAGUAAAAGUCGUAACAAGGUUUCCGUAGGUGAACCUGCGGAAGGAUCAUUAGAAAUAAGGAGGAUUGAUCCCUCGCGGAUUGAUCGAAUCUCCCACAUCCAAUCCCUGUGUGCACUUAUCGACCGUUUGCUUUGGCAGGAAAGACAAGGGAGCCUUCGGAUCCCCCGGAGGUUUUUUACCCUGGGAGGACGUGCGUUAUGUCAUGUAGCGCCCAGCCUCGGCCUGCCAGAGUUUUUUUCUUUCGCAAACUCGAUUUUUUUUUUUUGACUGAAAUUACGUCUCGAUUGUCUUUGUCAAUCGGUCAAAUCAGAUACAACUUUCAACAACGGAUCUCUUGGCUCUCGCAUCGAUGAAGAACGCAGC
RNAcentral lists this unclassified non-coding RNA (385 nucleotides) under uncultured fungus. RNAcentral's name for it is "partial contains small subunit ribosomal RNA, internal transcribed spacer 1, and 5.8S ribosomal RNA". The stretch from base 1 to 73 matches the Rfam family "Eukaryotic small subunit ribosomal RNA", at positions 1759 to 1831 of the family's 1831-position model. Lineage: Eukaryota; Fungi. The record is from RNAcentral.